Non-coding RNA from Tinamus guttatus (white-throated tinamou), 153 nucleotides. Lineage: Eukaryota; Metazoa; Chordata; Aves; Tinamiformes; Tinamidae. The record is from RefSeq and is a predicted model, not a curated record.
AGGUCCAAAACCUUGAAGGACUUUCAGGUUAAUGCCUGGUCAUGAGCAUUAUCUUAACUAGCGUUUUACUUAUAAAGGUCUUUCUGGGGCCAGAUCUCCCCAUGGGCCAAUUUAUCCAGUGAGAAGGAAAUAAAUAAGGCAGAAAUAAAGAAA